RNAcentral lists this transfer RNA (70 nucleotides) under Nothobranchius thierryi (Togo killifish). RNAcentral's name for it is "tRNA-Thr". It matches the Rfam family "tRNA". Rfam says of the family: Transfer RNA (tRNA) molecules are approximately 80 nucleotides in length. Their secondary structure includes four short double-helical elements and three loops (D, anti-codon, and T loops). The record is from RNAcentral. Lineage: Eukaryota; Metazoa; Chordata; Actinopteri; Cyprinodontiformes; Nothobranchiidae.
GUUUGGGUAGCUUANAAUAGAGCGUUAGUUUUGUAAACUGAAAAUGAGGGUUUAACCCCCUCCCCUUACU